AAACCUAAACCAGCUAAUACAAAAUGAUCAGAUCAGAAAGCAUGGGUAUCGAGCUCAAGAUCAUAACAACUAAAAUAGAAUCAGCUUCGACCUCAACUGGAUAGUCUAGUUCGAGUAGAAGAGUCAGAGGAUGGAAGGUGAUAGGUUGAACAAAAGUGGGCUCAUUGGAUACGGAGGGUUUGGACUGGAGCUGAGUCCUAAUGGCAUCUAGUUGGGACAAAACUCCUCUCACUAAAACUCUGAGCCCCUCA
RNAcentral lists this long non-coding RNA (251 nucleotides) under Elaeis guineensis (African oil palm). RNAcentral's name for it is "long non-coding RNA (EGUI_LNC009895)". The record is from RNAcentral. Lineage: Eukaryota; Viridiplantae; Streptophyta; Magnoliopsida; Arecales; Arecaceae.